Molecule: ribosomal RNA, 483 nt
Filed under: uncultured bacterium
Lineage: Bacteria
Description: partial 16S ribosomal RNA
Rfam family: Bacterial small subunit ribosomal RNA
Source: RNAcentral
GACGAACGCUGGCGGCGUGCUUAACACAUGCAAGUCGAACGCUGAAGCCCAGCUUUUGUUGGGUGGAUGAGUGGCGAACGGGUGAGUAACACGUGAGUAACCUGCCUCCUUCUUUGGGAUAACGCCCGGAAACGGGUGCUAAUACUGGAUAUUCACUGGUCUUCGUAUGGGGGUUGGUGGAAAGGGUUUUUCUGGUGGGGGAUGGGCUCGCGGCCUAUCAGCUUGCUGGUGGGGUGAUGGGCUACCAAGGCUUUGACGGGUAGCCGGCCUGAGAGGGUGACCGGUAACAGUGGGACUGGGCUACGGCCCAGACUCCUACGGGAGGCAGCAGUGGGGAAUAUUGCGCAAUGGGCGCAAGCCUGAUGCAGCGACGCAGCGUGAGGGAUGGAGGCCUUCGGAUUGUGAACCUCUUUCGCUCAUGGUCAAGCCGCAACAAUGGUUGUGGUGAGGGUAGUGGGUAAAGAAGCGCCGGCUAACUACGUG